Molecule: ribosomal RNA, 480 nt
Filed under: uncultured bacterium
Lineage: Bacteria
Description: bacterial SSU rRNA
Rfam family: Bacterial small subunit ribosomal RNA
Source: RNAcentral
AACGCUGGCGGCGUGCUUAACACAUGCAAGUCGAACGAGAAUCUACUGAAGGAGGAUUCGUCCAACGGAAGUAGAGGAAAGUGGCGGACGGGUGAGUAACGCGUGAGGAACCUGCCUUGAAGAGGGGGACAACAGUUGGAAAACGACUGCUAAAUACCGCAUGAAGCAGUAGGGGUCGCAUGAUUCUUAUGCCAAAAGAUUUAUCGCUUCAAGAUGGCCUCGCGUCUGAUUAGCUAGUUGGCGGGGUAAUGGCCCACCAAGGCGACGAUCAGUAGCCGGACUGAGAGGUUGAACGGCCACAUUGGGACUGAGAUACGGCCCAGACUCCUACGGGAGGCAGCAGUGGGGAAUAUUGGGCAAUGGGCGCAAGCCUGACCCAGCAACGCCGCGUGAAGGAAGAAGGCUUUCGGGUUGUAAACUUCUUUUAAGAGGGAAGAGCAGAAGACGGUACCUCUAGAAUAAGCCACGGCUAACUACGUG